This 499-nucleotide ribosomal RNA is filed under the name uncultured bacterium. RNAcentral describes it as "partial 16S ribosomal RNA". It matches the Rfam family "Bacterial small subunit ribosomal RNA", at positions 30 to 523 of the family's 1533-position model. The record is from RNAcentral.
AUUGAACGCUGGCGGAAUGCUUUACACAUGCAAGUCGAACGGCAGCACGGACUUCGGUCUGGUGGCGAGUGGCGAACGGGUGAGUAAUGUAUCGGAACGUGCCCAGUCGUGGGGGAUAACGUAGUGAAAAUUACGCUAAUACCGCAUACGAUCUAUGGAUGAAAGCGGUGGGUCGCAAGACCUCGCGCGAUUGGAGCGGCCGAUAUCAGAUUAGGUAGUUGGUGGGGUAAAGGCCCACCAAGCCAACGAUCUGUAGCUGGUCUGAGAGGACGACCAGCCACACUGGAACUGAGACACGGUCCAGACUCCUACGGGAGGCAGCAGUGGGGAAUUUGGACAAUGGGCGAAAGCCUGAUCCAGCCAUUCCGCGUGCAGGAUGAAGGCCCUCGGGUUGUAAACUGCUUUUGUACAGAACGAAAAGGUUUCUACUAAUACUAGGAGCUCAUGACGGUACUGUAAGAAUAAGCACCGGCUAACUACGUGCCAGCCGCCGCCGUAA